CCAAUGUGCUCGGUGAUUCGGUUCAUCGAGUAAAGCUCCGGCGCUUCGGGAGAGGCCUGCGGCCCAUCAGCUAGUUGGUAGGGUAACGGCCUACCAAGGCAGAGACGGGUAGGGGGCGUGAGAGCGCGGACCCCCACACUGGCACUGAGAUACGGGCCAGACUCCUACGGGAGGCAGCAGUAAGGGAUAUUGCGCAAUGGACGAAAGUCAGACGCAGCGACGCCGCGUGGGCGAUGAAGGCCUUCGGGUUGUAAAGCCCUUUUAUGGGGGAAGAGAAAAAGGACGGUACCCCAGGAAUAAGUCCCGGCUAACUACGUGCCAGCAGCCGCGGUAAAACGUAGGGGACAAGCGUUAUCCGGAUUCACUGGGCGUAAAGAGCGUUGAGGCGGUUCCGUAAGUUGGGCGUGAAAGCUCCGGGCUUAACUCGGAGAUGUCGUUCAAUACUGCGGGGCUUGAGGACAGCAGAGGAAGGUGGAAUUCCCGGUGUAGUGGUGAAAUGCGUAGAUAUCGGGAGGAACACCCGUGGCGAAGGCGGCCUUCUGGGCUGUUCCUGACGCUGAAGGCGAAAGCUAGGGGAGCGAACGGGAUUAGAUACCCCGGUAGUCCUAGCUGUAAACGAUGGAUGCUGGGUUUGGGGGGUGUAAAUUCCCUCUGUGCCGAAGCAAACGCGUUAAGCAUCCCGCCUGGGGACUACGGCCGCAAGGCUAAAACUCAAACGAAUUGGCGGGGGCCCGCACAAGCAGCGGAGCGUGUGGUUUAAUUCGAUGCUACACGAAGAACCUUACCUGGGUUUGACAUGCACGUGGUAGGGAACCGAAAGGGGACCGACCUUCGGGAGCGUGCACAGGUGCUGCAUGGCUGUCGUCAGCUCGUGCCGUGAGGUGUCGGGUUAAGUCCCGUAACGAGCGCAACCCUUGCCCUUAGUUACAAGUGUCUAAGGGGACUGCCCGGGACAACUGGGAGCGCAGGUGGGGAUGACGUCAAGUCAGCAUGGCCUUUAUAUCCAGGGCUACACACACGCUACAAUGGCCGGUACAAUAGGUUGCGAAGUCGUGAGGCGGAGCCAAUCCUCAAAGCCGGUCUCAGUUCGAAUUGCAGUCUGCAACUCGACUGCAUGAAGCUGGAGUUGCUAGUAAUCGCAGGUCAGCUAUACU
RNAcentral lists this ribosomal RNA (1154 nucleotides) under uncultured organism. RNAcentral's name for it is "bacterial SSU rRNA". It matches the Rfam family "Bacterial small subunit ribosomal RNA", at positions 170 to 1358 of the family's 1533-position model. The record is from RNAcentral.